AGAGAAAACCAUAUCAUCAAAUUAGGACGUGGAUAACAAGCUUGACAUCCUUGAAAUAAAUCCAUUCCUCGCUAAAAUGGAUUUACAAUUGGUACCAAACUCCAACUAGUAAAAACUUACUCAAACCCCAGUUUUAAUUUCUUCAACUACAUAAGAACACCAUUAUUGUCAAACACAUUAUAAAGCUACUCCUGAAACGCAGAUUCACGACAUAAAAGUCCAAAUCUAACAGAUCCCAAUAUAUUCCCCCACCCAAAAUAAAAAAUGUAGGAACAGAAUAGAAUAGAAAUAAACAAAAGGGAAAAGGUAAUAACUUUCUGCAGCAAAAACAGUAGUAUUAAUUAAUUAAUUAGUCCCUAAACUCUGAUGUUGAGGGUCAGAUUGAAGAAGGGUCUUCUUUGCAAGAGUAUGCUUGUUGUUGUGCAUCCAUACCUUCAAAACUCUUCUCUUGACUCCAACUUCUUGGCAGAACUGCUGCACCACUCCUUCUUCCUGCUUCUGUAUUUUCCACCCAACUUUCUCUGCAAAGUUGAGCAUCUUCUCCUUCUGCUCCUGACUGAACUUGGUUCUGAACCUCUUCUUCACCAGCUGCGGCGCUCUGCCGCCGUCCUGCUCGUCGGACUCGGAGGGGCCGCCGGCUGUUGUAGGAGUGCAUAAUCAUCUGGUGUGGCCUGUAGCCCUUGUGCUGGUGGUGGUGGUGGCCCAGGAAGAGCUUGCGGCCAAUCCUGGGGUAGCAGCCGUCGCAGGGGUCACCGUCGGCCUCCUUGCGGUGGAAGUUGCGGUGGCAGCCGCAGGCGGAGCAGGUAAGGGCGUCGAGGUCGGCGGUGGGCAUGAACUCGCCGCAGCCGUCGGUGGCGUUGCCGCCCAUCGCAGCCGCGUGGUUCUUGAGGCACUCGCGGUACCUGACGGGCUUCUUGAAAUCGUCGUCGGCGAUCUGGGUGGCGGAAGAAGGGAUGAUAAUGUGGUUGUGGGAUGGCGGUGGAUGAUGAUGAUGGUGAUGGAUCAUGUGGCCAUGCCCACCAUAGGUGCUGUUCAGUGGGAGCGGCAUCUCAUCACCUUCUUCACUUGGAACCUCCAUUAGAUCUUUCCUCUUUUGUGCGUGUGUCACUUGUUUGGAGACCAAAAGGACCACCAGAUUAGGGUGCUAACACCAAUGAUUAAACCUUAAAAGUCAUGCCCUCACUUGUAAAUUUUCCUAUGCGCGCGCUAGCUGUCUUUUUUUUGGGGGGGUGUCAAGCAACGACACUAUAUAUAAAUAUGGGAAUAAAUCACUGAUUCUUAAUUCAAACUGAGUUUGAUUUCAAGAGGCAGAAAUUAAUUAAGGUUAACUUAUUGGGUUGUGGGAUUUAUGGACUGGGAGGAGAAACCAAGAACAAAAUACUAGAUAUUUGUUAGUAGGGAAUGACAGUGAAUCAACCUGCGUUUUUCUUUCUACACAUUGUAAACAUGUUUUCUUGAAUAAAGGGAAGUAAGGCAGAGAUUAGUUUUGUCUGAAAGAAUAGUGUUGAAGGGAAAAAUAAAUAAAGUCAUGUAGUAUAUAUAUGAGGUUCAAGUAANAAUGAUGUUCACGAGCCAGUUUUAUUAUUUCAAACUCCAAACGAAAUGAUGUUUGAAACUCAGUUAUGGUAUUUUAAGCUCUAAAUGAGACGAUGCACAAAAGACCUGUUAUGAUUUUUCAAGCUCCAUACAAGAUGAUGGUUAGAAGUUAGUUAUGAUCUCACAAGCUUCAGAUUGCAUAAUCUCACAAGUCAGCCCUGGUGUUUCUAACUCCUACUGAAAAUGAUGUUUAGAAGUGAGUUAUGAUAUUUAAAGCAUCAGGUAGUGUUGUUGAAACGACUGACGCAUUAAAUCAGAUAUUGUAUUUUAGGGUCCAGACGAGAUAAUGCUAAAAAAUUUGGUGUUCAAAAGUCAGAUAUCGUCUUCGAGUUCUUGAUGAUCAUCUGGUCUUACAGACUUCAGAUGAGAUGAUGUUUAGAUGACAAAUGAGAUCUUAAAUUAAUUCUUAUCCGUCAAUAUAGAAAAAUUGUACAAAAUUUAUACUCCCUCCGUCCGCAAUAUCGUUUUCACAUUUGCCAUUUCGAUCUGUCCGCGAUAUCGCGAAAUGGCAAAUGUGGAAACGAUAUCGCGGACGGACCGAAGUGUAUUUUUAUCAUUCUAGCAAAAAGUUAAUAUUUAAUUGACGAAUAUAGUUGAAAUUAGUACUACCUCCGUCCACCAAAAGUAUGACACUUUGGAGGGACAUACGUUUUAAGAAAAUUGGUGGUGAUUUUUCAAAAGCAGAGACUAAACAUCCGCCAAAUGGACAAAUGGUCCCACCAAAAUUGAAAUGAUAGUUGAGAUUGAAUUAAAAGUGAUUUUUUUUUGUAAAUAAAGAGUGUUUGUAGAGAUAAAAAAAAGUAAUACGGUCAUGCCUUAAAAUGAAAAGUGCCAUAAUUUUUGUGGACACUCAAAAUAACAAAAGUAUCGUACUUUUCGUGGUCGAAGCGAAUAUAAUAUAAACUUUAUUACAUCUAAUUAAAUUAAUUAAAAGAUAAUUAUAUUAUAUAAACCAAUAUAAAUAAUUUAAAUUAUAAUUUAAAGUCACGUCGAAUUUCUACAGGUUAUACUUCUACUAAAUAAGACACCAACAGUAAAAUAAAGGAUUUCAUGUGACAUGCAUCCCCAAACUUAAAACUAAUUGCGUCAAGAAGAGAAAACCAUAUCAUCAAAUUAGGAGGUGGAGAAUAACAAGCUUGACAUCCUUGAAAUAAAUCCAUUCCUCGCUAAAAUGGAUUUACAAUUGGUACCAAACUCCAACUACUAAAAACUUACUCAAACCCCAGUUUUAAUUUCUUCAACUACAUAAGAACACCAUUAUUGUCAAACACAUUAUAAAGCUACUCCUGAAACGCAGAUUCACGACAUAAAAGUCCAAAUCUAACAGAUCCCAAUAUAUUCCCCCACCCAAAAUAAAAAUGUAGGAACAGAAUAGAAUAGAAAUAAACAAAAGGGAAAAGGUAAUAACUUUCUGCAGCAAAAACAGUAGUAUUAAUUAAUUAAUUAGUCCCUAAACUCUGAUGUUGAGGGUCAGAUUGAAGAAGGGUCUUCUUUGCAAGAGUAUGCUUGUUGUUGUGCAUCCAUACCUUCAAAACUCUUCUCUUGAC
RNAcentral lists this long non-coding RNA (3143 nucleotides) under Salvia miltiorrhiza (redroot sage). RNAcentral's name for it is "long non-coding RNA (SMIL_LNC009142)". The record is from RNAcentral. Lineage: Eukaryota; Viridiplantae; Streptophyta; Magnoliopsida; Lamiales; Lamiaceae.